GUAGAGAUAAGAAUUGUUUUCUCUUCUUCUCUGAGCUUCUCCUGAAAAAAUCCUGGGAGAGAAAAUUAUGCCUCUCUCUGUCUAGAGAAUGUGAAUGCCACAAGCCUGUUAUGGAUGCAGAGAUUGGGAACCAUCAACAAGGUUUGUUGGCAAUCCCAAAAGUUUUGCUGCUUUGAUGGAUAGGCAAGAAGACUGAUCAUCAAAGAAAUAACAACCUACAAAAAACAGAGCUGGGAAGAUCUAUGAAAUUCUGAAAAUGUAAAAAGCCACGAAAGGUAAUGAGGACUGUCCCCUGACACUGAGGCGAUAUUUGCUGAUGGUGAAAUUGAGACAUGAGGAGGUGGAAAAGGAGUAGGCGUAAAGGAUUUAAGAGGAAUAGAGAGAAGACAGAACAGCGGACACAGUGGAGGAUGGAGAAUUGACAGUAAUAUUCAGCGUCUAAAUUCGCUAUUAGCUUGCAAGGAAAUGAAGUAAUACCAUUUAAAUAUAGCAAGGUGGGUUGCUGAGAUACAUGCAGAAAAUAGAGACUUCAAGAAUUUUCAAAGAAAACAUAAAUUAUAUUUUGAUGAUUGAUCUGUCCCACAGUCUUCCCAUUCUCUUAGUGCACAGAGCUGGCUGCAUGAAUGAAGAGCCAGAGAUAAGUACACAGCUUCAAAUUCAACUGCGUUUUCUUCUGAGUAUAAAAUCAUAGUUUUACAAAAAAGCACAAGCUCUCAUGACCUUGCUCAACUAUUUUUGUGUUCUAAUUCCAGCCAGGAUCUAGAUUCUGGUGUUUUUCUGAGUAUUUUACAAACCUUCAAAAAUGGUAGCCCACCCAUUCAUGUGCUAUCUGAGCCUCAGGGAGCUGAAAAGAAAACUACAGUAGUGGAUGGUUCUGAAUUUGAAUUAUCAUCUCUUAGGGCUUUGCUGUGAUAACUUUUCAUAGCCACAGAGAUUCUGAAAGCAACUACAUGUGCUUACACUAGCCACUAGCUCAUGGAACAGACUUGAUUUUUUUGCAUUCUAUUAUCCUCUUUUGUGAGCCCUCCAGUUCUGUUUGUCAGAACUUUCUGAAUCAGACUGAAAAGAUAAGGAAAUUUUCAUAGACAAUGAAAAUGUGACAUGGUAGAAUGCAACAGCCUAUGAAAAAUUAUGCAAAAAUUACAGUAAACCACAAAGAUGAUGUAUAUAGCUUUUGACCUUUUUUGUUUAUAUUCAAAGAACAAGAUGACAACAAAAGGUUCAUUCUUUGAAAAGGGGAGGAAAAUAUUAGUACUUUAAAAUUAAUAUUGUGACUUC
Molecule: long non-coding RNA, 1278 nt
Organism: Zonotrichia leucophrys gambelii
Lineage: Eukaryota; Metazoa; Chordata; Aves; Passeriformes; Passerellidae
Exons: 4
Source: RefSeq, a predicted model, not a curated record